GACGAACGCUGGCGGCGUGCUUAACACAUGCAAGUCGAACGGAAAGGCCCUGCUUUCAGGGUACUCGAGUGGCGAACGGGUGAGUAACACGCGGGUGUUCUGCCCUGCACUUCGGGAUAUGCGUGGGAAACUGGGUCUAAUACCCGAUAGAUGCCAUCUUUAGUGUGGUGGUUGGAAAGUGUUUUGGGGGUAUGAUGUGAUCGCGGCCUAUCGGCUUGUUGGGGGGGUAAUGGCGUACCAAGACGGCGACGGGUAGCGGGCCUGGGGGGGUGUACGGCCAAAUUGGGACUGAGGACAGGCCAAGGUUCCACGGGGAGGAAGAAGGGGGGAAUAUUGAACAAGGGGCGCAAGCUUGAUGAAGCGAGGCUGCGGGGGGGAUGAAGGCCUUCGGGUGGAAAAACCUUUUGGAAAGGAACGAAGCUUUUUGUGACGGUACCUAGAUAAGAAGCACCGGCUAACUACGUG
RNAcentral lists this ribosomal RNA (465 nucleotides) under uncultured bacterium. RNAcentral's name for it is "partial 16S ribosomal RNA". It matches the Rfam family "Bacterial small subunit ribosomal RNA", at positions 28 to 507 of the family's 1533-position model. The record is from RNAcentral.